GUGUUUCCUAAUUUUGAGGCGUCUCAAGAAAAGCCAGGUUAUACGGUCUAUUUUUCUGUGGAAACACAUUUAGCAACAUAGCGGGUGAAUUAUGUAUAUAAUGUAUAUUACGAUGUUAUGAUGAACUAUAUCCCUUUCUCCACUGACGUUCUAAUUCAAAGCAUUUCUAAGAAUGAUUUUUAGAAGGCAGCUAUCUGACUCUGAAUGGGAACAUGGUUUGUGUAACAUUAGCAACACAUUAGCUGUUUGAUAACGUAGUCAAGCCAAAGGCUAAUCAUAUCAAUUGCCGUUAUGUGCCCGACAUAUUACUCUUCCACUGCUUCUGAAUCAGUUACUGGUUUAAACAUAUCUGGCUGAAUUAAACCAGUAUUUCCACUUGCCAUAGUGUAGUGUUUACUACAGUAAAGUUGACCGAUUGGAUCAGGUAGUCACGAGCUGGUGCGAUUGAGUGGAGACGGGGACUAAUUUGCAUAUUCAUGACACCGCGUAUAUACUAAAUGCAAGAAUUUAGUAGUUACAUUCAAGCUAUUUUAAGGCAUAAAUAGAUUAUUUUCAAGGGGAAAACGUUUAAAUAUGUCAUUUUGGUGAUCAAAGAUGAGUUUUAAUUGAUAAAAUUAUUGACUACAAGGGGACUUUAACAACAUAGGCAAUUAACCAUAUAUCUAGAAUUUGAUAAAGUCAACAAAUAGAGUAAACCUUUAGAAUUGAUAAACAUGCAAGUUAUAAACAUAAGCAAACCAUUCCUAGAUUUAAGCAAACAAAACACAGAGCACCUCCUGAUAUGGUCUGAGUUAAUUUCUGCGUAGAAACAUUGUUUAGGCUAUGCUUUGCUCUAAGGAAAGCUCUUUGUUUGCUUUUUCUAAAGAAGCGGGCACUGGAAUGUGAGGGGGUGACUGAAAAAACUGUCCUAAACGAUUCCAUUUUGCGUGAAGAGCAACGGCAGCUCUUAAUUUCUUGUUUACAGCGACAUCUGCUGGUGGACAUUUUAACAUUGGCCAGCACAAUUUCUCAGAUCUGCUGCAUCAUCAAUUGCACGAUCUCAUCUACGACUGACUAAAUUCCCACGGAUGACCAAAUAUAGCCUACGAGUUUUAUGAGGUUCUUUUAGGAGUCUCCACAUCCUUAAUAAUGAGUCUGAAAAUGUGUUUACAAUUAUAGCCCAGCCACAGCCUGCAUGUCAGUUUAAAGCGAUGUAAGGGGUGCCCACUUAUGUUAACAAAGAGGGAAAUAUAGAACAAGACAGUCAGCAGCAGACAGAGGCAAGGUUAAUCGACCUAAGGAGAGUUUUCAAUUGACAUUGGUGCAUGCAGGACCCUGUGACUGCGGUCAUCAUUCGACUGCGGCGGAGCUGCGGCUUCCUCAGCAUCUCCAUCGACUCUCAUCUUUUAGGAGAUUAGAGUGCCUUGACUUGCAAGACGAGGAAACGGCCCGAAUAUAUCGGCUUGAAGUUGUUUAGAGACGAAAAUUGAAGAGGCAAUGAAGUCUUAUACAUCCCUAGCAGCUUGUUUUGUGUUAUUAGCAUGUCUGUCAUGUAUGAUGGGUGUGGCCACUGCAACAAACCCAUACCAAAAACCUGGCUUCUUGGAUAUUGACUCCUGGUUCUGGAACACCCCUCGAGGGCCACAGAUGUUCUCCUGCCUUACCUACAUUGAGAAGAACCUCCGGGUUGACUGUGAAUUCCCAGAGACCCACAAGAUUCCCGGGCCUUUCUGUGAAUUCAAACAGGAUGGGCGACUCAUGGGAUCCACCUACCCAAACACACCAGUCCACAUGAUCCCACCAAUUGAGACCCGACGCAGAGCCAAUGUCUCCCUGGUGUCACCUAACAUUUGUCGCCUCACCUGGAUGCCUAUGUCCGAUGACCGUGCGUACACUUACACCUGCAGGGUUUAUCAGGGCAACACCUGGAAGGAGAACAGCAUGGCAUUCCACCAAAGAAAUCUUCUGAUGUGCUCUGCAUUAAGCAUAUUUUUCCACACUGGACCAUGGAUUCUUGCAGUUGUGAUAUCACUUCCUGUUUCUCUUGGGUUUCUGUCAGAAUGACCAGCACUACAUCGAGCAACCUAAAACUCGAAGCCAUUCUCACAUUUAACUGCCUUUCACAUUUUAAGUUACAUUCAUAUUUACUUAAUUUUUCAUCUUACAUGUUGACUGUUGAUUUUUUUUUUUUUUUUUUUUUUUUUUUGCUUUACAGCCCCAUUUAAGUUUCUGUGGACAUCACUGUCAUUACAACUUCAGGAUUCACUGUGAAAAGCAAACAGAUAUAAUGCAUGUGACCCACUCAAGUAUAUAUGGCCAAAAAUUUGUUUAAAAUUAAGAUAUAAUGUAUAUCUUUAAUUACACUAAUAAUGUAAACUAAUUAAUAAUUGCACUACUGUUCAAAAGUUUAGGGUCAGUAAGGCUAUUUUUAAAAAAUAAAUUAAUAUUUUUAUUCAACAAUGAUGCAUUAAACUGAUCAAAAGUGGCAGUAAAUACAUUUAUAAUGUAAAAAUACUUCAAUAUCAAAUAAAUUCUGUUCUUUUGAACUUUCUAUUUAUUAAAGAAUCCUGGGGGGGAAAAAAAGAACUGUAUUUUCAAAAUUUAUAAGAAAUGUUUCUCAAGCACCAAAUCAGCAUAUUAGAAUGAUUUCCGAAGGACUGGAGUAAUGGCUGUUGGAAAUUCAGCUUUGCCAUCGCAGGAAUAAAUUACAUUUUAAAACAUUUUAACAAAAAACUGUUAUUUUAAAUUAUAAUAAUGAUAUUUUACAAUACUACUGCUUUUACUGUCUCUUUAAUCAAAUAAAUGCAGCCUUACUGAGUGCAAGAGACUUAUUUAAAAAAACAUUUUAAAAAGCUUAAUGACCCAGAACUUUUGAAUGGUGGUGUACAGUGACUUAAAAUAUUUCAAUCUGAACAUUUACAAACAAGAGGUUUGUAAUUAUUGCAAAUGUAAUGACCAUUUACUCUAAGAUUAGUAUUAUUGAUUGCAGCAUGUUUGUCAAUUGCAUUGAAUUCAGAUGAAGGACUGCACCAAAAAGUAUAUGCUGAAGCUGGAGUUGAUCAGGCACUCUGUUAUAAGAAAUAUAUAUUAUUGUUUUAAUAUAUGGCUUAGGACCCUUAUAUAGUGUAAUGUGCUGUUUGUGUUAGUUUCAUUUUCAUGGACAUUUAGUUCGUAUUCACCAGUUACCUGUGUCCUAUUAUCAUUUGUUUCGUUUUUCCCGCCAGUCAUUAGUUUCCAUGGACACUCAUUCAGUAUGAACAUCUGUUCGCCCUUGAGCUCAUUAUCUUUGUAUAUUUAAGUUCCUCUUUGUUUUCAGUUAAUGGUCCAGUAUUGUCAUGUGUUACACACGCUGUCACGUUACCUGUUCAUCGUACUUGGUGUACUUGAGUUUGUUUUAUAUAACAAAAACCUUUGUUUUAGAACCUUUUUUUAUCAUCAUCAUCUGGACUAAAGCGUAACGUACUCAGAGGGGGACAGCCUCUAGAGUAUUUUUACUCUACUCAAGUACAUUUUUUCAAUUAUUUGUACUUUAUCAGAGUGUUUUUCUUUGGAAAACUUUUACUUCACAACAUUCCAAAGCACAAUGUUGUACUUUUCACUGCACUACAUUUCCUAAAUACGUUUCU
Molecule: long non-coding RNA, 3605 nt
Organism: Ctenopharyngodon idella (grass carp)
Lineage: Eukaryota; Metazoa; Chordata; Actinopteri; Cypriniformes; Xenocyprididae
Exons: 4
Source: RefSeq, a predicted model, not a curated record